Malania oleifera is the source of this 71-nucleotide small nucleolar RNA. RefSeq annotates it as small nucleolar RNA snoR60. The record is from RefSeq and is a predicted model, not a curated record. Lineage: Eukaryota; Viridiplantae; Streptophyta; Magnoliopsida; Santalales; Ximeniaceae. The transcript has a single exon.
AAGCAUAUGAUGAAUUUCUCGGAUUCCCCUUCAAGACAUUGUGGAUGAUGCAAACCCGAGAUUCUGAUGCA